Molecule: non-coding RNA, 136 nt
Filed under: Streptomyces sparsogenes
Lineage: Bacteria; Bacillati; Actinomycetota; Actinomycetes; Kitasatosporales; Streptomycetaceae
Source: RNAcentral
AGAGGAAGCCGGUGAGAAUCCGGCGCGGUCCCGCCACUGUCACCGGGGAGCGCUCUCCCAUCGCCCUACGAGUCACGGCCGCCCGCGCGGAGGCUGGAAGACCGGGAGAACCGCGGAUCCGGGAGCCAGGAGACUC